Molecule: ribosomal RNA, 2352 nt
Filed under: Escherichia coli
Lineage: Bacteria; Pseudomonadati; Pseudomonadota; Gammaproteobacteria; Enterobacterales; Enterobacteriaceae
Description: partial 23S ribosomal RNA
Rfam family: Bacterial large subunit ribosomal RNA
Source: RNAcentral
GUGACUGCGUACCUUUUGUAUAAUGGGUCAGCGACUUAUAUUCUGUAGCAAGGUUAACCGAAUAGGGGAGCCGAAGGGAAACCGAGUCUUAACUGGGCGUUAAGUUGCAGGGUAUAGACCCGAAACCCGGUGAUCUAGCCAUGGGCAGGUUGAAGGUUGGGUAACACUAACUGGAGGACCGAACCGACUAAUGUUGAAAAAUUAGCGGAUGACUUGUGGCUGGGGGUGAAAGGCCAAUCAAACCGGGAGAUAGCUGGUUCUCCCCGAAAGCUAUUUAGGUAGCGCCUCGUGAACUCAUCUCCGGGGGUAGAGCACUGUUUCGGCAAGGGGGUCAUCCCGACUUACCAACCCGAUGCAAACUGCGAAUACCGGAGAAUGUUAUCACGGGAGACACACGGCGGGUGCUAACGUCCGUCGUGAAGAGGGAAACAACCCAGACCGCCAGCUAAGGUCCCAAAGUCAUGGUUAAGUGGGAAACGAUGUGGGAAGGCCCAGACAGCCAGGAUGUUGGCUUAGAAGCAGCCAUCAUUUAAAGAAAGCGUAAUAGCUCACUGGUCGAGUCGGCCUGCGCGGAAGAUGUAACGGGGCUAAACCAUGCACCGAAGCUGCGGCAGCGACGCUUAUGCGUUGUUGGGUAGGGGAGCGUUCUGUAAGCCUGUGAAGGUGUGCUGUGAGGCAUGCUGGAGGUAUCAGAAGUGCGAAUGCUGACAUAAGUAACGAUAAAGCGGGUGAAAAGCCCGCUCGCCGGAAGACCAAGGGUUCCUGUCCAACGUUAAUCGGGGCAGGGUGAGUCGACCCCUAAGGCGAGGCCGAAAGGCGUAGUCGAUGGGAAACAGGUUAAUAUUCCUGUACUUGGUGUUACUGCGAAGGGGGGACGGAGAAGGCUAUGUUGGCCGGGCGACGGUUGUCCCGGUUUAAGCGUGUAGGCUGGUUUUCCAGGCAAAUCCGGAAAAUCAAGGCUGAGGCGUGAUGACGAGGCACUACGGUGCUGAAGCAACAAAUGCCCUGCUUCCAGGAAAAGCCUCUAAGCAUCAGGUAACAUCAAAUCGUACCCCAAACCGACACAGGUGGUCAGGUAGAGAAUACCAAGGCGCUUGAGAGAACUCGGGUGAAGGAACUAGGCAAAAUGGUGCCGUAACUUCGGGAGAAGGCACGCUGAUAUGUAGGUGAAGCGACUUGCUCGUGGAGCUGAAAUCAGUCGAAGAUACCAGCUGGCUGCAACUGUUUAUUAAAAACACAGCACUGUGCAAACACGAAAGUGGACGUAUACGGUGUGACGCCUGCCCGGUGCCGGAAGGUUAAUUGAUGGGGUUAGCGCAAGCGAAGCUCUUGAUCGAAGCCCCGGUAAACGGCGGCCGUAACUAUAACGGUCCUAAGGUAGCGAAAUUCCUUGUCGGGUAAGUUCCGACCUGCACGAAUGGCGUAAUGAUGGCCAGGCUGUCUCCACCCGAGACUCAGUGAAAUUGAACUCGCUGUGAAGAUGCAGUGUACCCGCGGCAAGACGGAAAGACCCCGUGAACCUUUACUAUAGCUUGACACUGAACAUUGAGCCUUGAUGUGUAGGAUAGGUGGGAGGCUUUGAAGUGUGGACGCCAGUCUGCAUGGAGCCGACCUUGAAAUACCACCCUUUAAUGUUUGAUGUUCUAACGUUGACCCGUAAUCCGGGUUGCGGACAGUGUCUGGUGGGUAGUUUGACUGGGGCGGUCUCCUCCUAAAGAGUAACGGAGGAGCACGAAGGUUGGCUAAUCCUGGUCGGACAUCAGGAGGUUAGUGCAAUGGCAUAAGCCAGCUUGACUGCGAGCGUGACGGCGCGAGCAGGUGCGAAAGCAGGUCAUAGUGAUCCGGUGGUUCUGAAUGGAAGGGCCAUCGCUCAACGGAUAAAAGGUACUCCGGGGAUAACAGGCUGAUACCGCCCAAGAGUUCAUAUCGACGGCGGUGUUUGGCACCUCGAUGUCGGCUCAUCACAUCCUGGGGCUGAAGUAGGUCCCAAGGGUAUGGCUGUUCGCCAUUUAAAGUGGUACGCGAGCUGGGUUUAGAACGUCGUGAGACAGUUCGGUCCCUAUCUGCCGUGGGCGCUGGAGAACUGAGGGGGGCUGCUCCUAGUACGAGAGGACCGGAGUGGACGCAUCACUGGUGUUCGGGUUGUCAUGCCAAUGGCACUGCCCGGUAGCUAAAUGCGGAAGAGAUAAGUGCUGAAAGCAUCUAAGCACGAAACUUGCCCCGAGAUGAGUUCUCCCUGACCCUUUAAGGGUCCUGAAGGAACGUUGAAGACGACGACGUUGAUAGGCCGGGUGUGUAAGCGCAGCGAUGCGUUGAGCUAACCGGUACUAAUGAACCGUGAGGCUUAACCUU